AUUGAACGCUGGCGGCAGGCCUAACACAUGCAAGUCGAACGAGUGGCGGACGGGUGAGUAAUGUCUGGGAAACUGCCCGAUGGAGGGGGAUAACUACUGGAAACGGUAGCUAAUACCGCAUACCAUCGGAUGUGCCCAGAUGGGCUUAGCGAGUAGGUGGGGUAACGGCUCACCUAGGCGACGAGCCCUAGCUGGUCUGAGAGGAUGACCAGCCACACUGGAACUGAGGCACGGUCCAGACUCCUACGUGAGGCAGCAGUGGGGAAUAUUGCACAAUGGGCGCAAGCCUGAUGCAGCCAGGCCGCGUGUAUGAAGAAGGCCUUCGGGUUGUAAAGUACUUUCAGCGGGGAGGCGUUACCCGCAGAAGAAGCACCGGCUAACUCCGUGCCAGCAGCCGCGGUAAUAC
RNAcentral lists this ribosomal RNA (406 nucleotides) under uncultured bacterium. RNAcentral's name for it is "partial 16S ribosomal RNA". It matches the Rfam family "Bacterial small subunit ribosomal RNA", at positions 30 to 526 of the family's 1533-position model. The record is from RNAcentral.